This 599-nucleotide non-coding RNA is filed under the name Homo sapiens (human). Lineage: Eukaryota; Metazoa; Chordata; Mammalia; Primates; Hominidae. The record is from RNAcentral.
AGCCUUAGAUCGUCUGUCAGUGAAGGAAUUCGGGCAGUUGAUGAACGAAUGUCUAAACAAGAGGACAUUAGGAAAAAAAAGAUGUGUGUAUUGAGGCUUAUACAAGUUAUUCGGUCAGUUGAGAAAAUUGAAAAAAUCUUAAACUCUCAAAGUUCUAAAGAAACCUCUGCACUAGAAGCAAGCAGCCCCCUUUUGACUGGACAAAUUUUGGAGAGAAUUGCCACAGAAUUUAAUCAGUUACAGUUUCAUGCUGUUCAAAGCAAAGGCAUGCCUCUUUUGGACAAAGUAAGACCGCGUAUAGCUGGCAUUACAGCCAUGUUACAGCAGUCACUGGAAGGUCUCCUAUUAGAAGGCCUUCAGACGUCUGACGUCGAUAUAAUACGGCACUGCUUGCGGACUUACGCCACGAUUGACAAGACACGGGACGCGGAGGCCUUAGUUGGCCAAGUACUAGUGAAACCAUACAUAGACGAGGUGAUUAUAGAGCAGUUUGUUGAAUCUCAUCCCAAUGGCCUUCAGGUCAUGUAUAAUAAACUCCUGGAGUUUGUUCCUCACCAUUGCCGCCUUCUUCGAGAAGUCACAGGAGGUGCCAUCUCCAG